Molecule: ribosomal RNA, 534 nt
Filed under: Triticum aestivum (bread wheat)
Lineage: Eukaryota; Viridiplantae; Streptophyta; Magnoliopsida; Poales; Poaceae
Description: partial small subunit ribosomal RNA
Source: RNAcentral
AUGACCUGCUUGGGUGACGCAUACAGUGUUUCUUGGAUGGAAGACAGUGAAACUCACAAUCUACAGAAGGAACCCAUCAAGCAGCAGUACGAGGUGGUUAAAGCAAGAACGGCACCCCCAAAUGACUCCAAUAUCGGUUCUCAUGUCAUGGACCUCAAGGGCGCAAUCAAUCAAAGAGAUGUUGAUAUUCUUUUCAUGUGGAAGAAGUAUGAGCAGUUAAAUGUUGGAUCAGAGGAGAAGCAGAGGGCUCUCAGGGAGGUCAAAGAAACUGUGUUACACAGGAAGCUUCUCGACAGCAGUAUCGGUUUCAUCGGGAAGCUUGCCUUUGGAUUUGAGGGACCUUCGGUGCUUGAGGCUACUAAAGGCCCUGGCCAUCCAUUAGUAGACUAUUGGGAUUGUCUGAAGACGAUGGUGCGAGAUUUCGAGUCCCAGUGCGGAUCACUCACUCAGUAUGGCAUGAAACACAUGAGGGCGUUCACAAACAUCUACAACAUGGGGAAGUGGAGCCCGCCGGUUCUAGGGCACAGCGCCUGA